This 468-nucleotide ribosomal RNA is filed under the name uncultured bacterium. RNAcentral's name for it is "partial 16S ribosomal RNA". It matches the Rfam family "Bacterial small subunit ribosomal RNA", at positions 28 to 507 of the family's 1533-position model. The record is from RNAcentral.
GACGAACGCUGGCGGCGUGCUUAACACAUGCAAGUCGAACGGAAAGGCCCUGCUUUUGUGGGGUGCUCGAGUGGCGAACGGGUGAGUAACACGUGAGUAACCUGCUCUUGACUUUGGUAUAACUUCAGGAAACUGGGGCUAAUACCGGAUAGGAGCUCCUGCUGCAUGGUGGGGGUUGGAAAGUUUCGGCGGUUGGGGAUGGACUCGCGGCUUAUCAGCUUGUUGGUUGGGUAGUGGCUUACCAAGGCUUUGACGGGUAGCCGGCCUGAGAGGGUGACCGGCCACAAGGGGACUGAGAGACGGACCAGACGCCUACGGGGGGCAGCAGGGGGGAAUAUUGCACAAUGGGCGGAAGCCUGAUGCAGCAACGCCGCGUGCGGGAUGACGGCCUUCGGGUUGUAAACCGCUUUCGCCUGUGACGAAGCGUGAGUGACGGUAAUGGGUAAAGAAGCACCGGCUAACUACGUG